CCUACGGGAGGCAGCAGUCGAGAAUCAUUCACAAUGGGGGAAACCCUGAUGGUGCGACGCCGCGUGGGGGAAUGAAGGUCUUCGGAUUGUAAACCCCUGUCAUGUGGGAGCAAAUUAAAAAGAUAGUACCACAAGAGGAAGAGACGGCUAACUCUGUGCCAGCAGCCGCGGUAAUACAGAGGUCUCAAGCGUUGUUCGGAAUCACUGGGCGUAAGGCGUGCGUAGGCUGUUUCGUAAGUCGUGUGUGAAAGGCGCGGGCUCAACCCGCGGACGGCACGUGAUACUGCGAGACUAGAGUAAUGGAGGGGGAACCGGAAUUCUCGGUGUAGCAGUGAAAUGCGUAGAUAUCGAGAGGAACACUCGUGGCGAAGGCGGGUUCCUGGACAUUAACUGACGCUGAGGCACGAAGGCCAGGGGAGCGAAAGGGAUUAGAUACCCCAGUAGUC
Molecule: ribosomal RNA, 446 nt
Filed under: uncultured bacterium
Lineage: Bacteria
Description: partial 16S ribosomal RNA
Rfam family: Bacterial small subunit ribosomal RNA
Source: RNAcentral